RNAcentral lists this ribosomal RNA (880 nucleotides) under uncultured bacterium. RNAcentral's name for it is "bacterial SSU rRNA". It matches the Rfam family "Bacterial small subunit ribosomal RNA", at positions 28 to 911 of the family's 1533-position model. The record is from RNAcentral.
GAUGAACGCUAGCGGGAGGCCUAACACAUGCAAGUCGAACGGGAUUGGGAGCUUGCUCCCAUGAGAGUGGCGCACGGGUGAGUAACGCGUAUGCAACCUGCCUUUAACAGAGGGAUAGCCCAUAGAAAUGUGGAUUAAUACCUCAUAGUUCUUUUGUUCCGCAUGGGACAGAAGAUAAAGCUCCGGCGGUUAAAGAUGGGCAUGCGUGACAUUAGUUAGUUGGUGAGGUAACGGCUCACCAAGACUACGAUGUCUAGGGGUUCUGAGAGGAUGAUCCCCCACACUGGUACUGAGACACGGACCAGACUCCUACGGGAGGCAGCAGUGAGGAAUAUUGGUCAAUGGGCGCAAGCCUGAACCAGCCAUCCCGCGUGCAGGAUGACGGCCCUAUGGGUUGUAAACUGCUUUUAUACACCAAGAAACUUUCGGACGUGUCCGGAACUGACGGUAGUGUAUGAAUAAGCAUCGGCUAACUCCGUGCCAGCAGCCGCGGUAAUACGGAGGAUGCGAGCGUUAUCCGGAUUCAUUGGGUUUAAAGGGUGCGUAGGCGGCUUUUUAAGUCAGUGGUGAAAUCCUGCCGCUUAACGGUAGAAUUGCCAUUGAUACUGAAGAGCUUGAGUACAAUUGAGGUAAGCGGAAUGUGUAGUGUAGCGGUGAAAUGCUUAGAUAUUACACAGAACACCGAUUGCGAAGGCAGCUUACUAAACUGUCACUGACGCUGAUGCACGAAAGCGUGGGGAGCGAACAGGAUUAGAUACCCUGGUAGUCCACGCCGUAAACGAUGAUCACUCGCUGUAUGCGAUACACAGUAUGCGGCCAAGCGAAAGCAUUAAGUGAUCCACCUGGGGAGUACGAUCGCAAGGUUGAAACUCAAGGAAUU